GAUCCAUUGUGUGGACAUUUUUUAAUCAACAUUUUGAAGUGUUUCCACACCUCAUAGAAGCUUUCUCCUUCCAUCUAUCUAAAGGCAACAAUCUCUCUCCUUAAUUAGACU
This 111-nucleotide small nucleolar RNA is filed under the name Gossypium hirsutum (cotton). RNAcentral describes it as "Plant small nucleolar RNA R71". It matches the Rfam family "Plant small nucleolar RNA R71". Rfam says of the family: R71 is a member of the C/D box family of snoRNAs containing the C (UGAUGA) and D (CUGA) box motifs. Multiple nearly identical copies of this snoRNA have been identified in Arabidopsis, and it is thought to function as a 2'-O-ribose methylation guide for 18S ribosomal RNA. The record is from Rfam by way of RNAcentral. Lineage: Eukaryota; Viridiplantae; Streptophyta; Magnoliopsida; Malvales; Malvaceae.